GUCUACGGCCAUGCCACCCUGAACAAGCCUGAUCCCGUCUGAUCUCGGAAGCUAAGCAGGAUUGGGCCUGGUUAGUAUUUGGAUGGGAGACCACCUAGGAAGACCAGGUGCCGUAGGCG
RNAcentral lists this ribosomal RNA (119 nucleotides) under Pteropus alecto (black flying fox). Lineage: Eukaryota; Metazoa; Chordata; Mammalia; Chiroptera; Pteropodidae. The record is from RNAcentral.